CAACGUCACGCCCACCCACGAUCUCCCGUUCCUCUCCAAGUCUCAAACCACCCACCCCCACCAGCCCCGCCCGCACCUCCCACAAGGUUUCAUGGCCGCCGCCUGGCCCUCCUCUGGCCGGCGCUCUACGGUUACACGCCCCCCAAGGUCCCCACCGCCGCCUCCGGGGAGGAGGGGCACAUCGAGAGGCAGAGGGCAGUCCACCGCUGUCGAGGCCCUCGCUUCCCCUCGCUGUUCAUCCUCUCCUGGUGCCAUCGGCAUCUAAUUCCUCUGCCUCGCGGCCAAAAAUCAAUCCCCACCUUUCUCCCAUACAAUAGAAGGUCGAGAACCUUGAACCGAGGCGAGCAGCCGGCCUGGGUGCCGUCGCUGUCGUCCUCGACGGAGAAAGAGAGCACACAGGCCUUAUCCAAUCCCCCGCCGUGCCUCCCACGCGCUCCCACGCCGUCUCUUCCCACGCGCUGCAUCCCAGGCGCCACACUGGUGGCCUCCCCACGUCUCCACGUGCCCAGCCGGGCCAGCGACAUUCCAGCACUCCGAUUCGUCUUCCAUCCAUCUCCAUCGGAUGCGGCCGCCUAGGCGCACGAAUUGCCUUGCCCCGACGCCGCCACCGCCCUGCCGUCUACACACUGCAGUUCGAUUCAGAAGAAUAAUUUAUGUGAUCUGAUUUGAUUUGUACAAAGAUUUGCUCGAGGCUAACCUGCGUACAGGUAAUUUACACUUUGCAAGUUUAUUUGAGUAUAACUCAUCCCUGGCCAGUUUCGUGUGUAAUAUUUAAGUCAAUGACAUGUCAUGCUUAAUUAUUUAAUGUUCAACCCAGAAUACUACUAUUUCUUACUUAAGCGUGAAAUACUCCAGAAACUCUGCUAAAAAUGAAGGCUCUUCUUUUAAAUGAUAGCAACCGGCAACUGCCAUGGUUCCAAGACCAAGAACUUCCUACUCAACCAAUAAUGCACUUCUUUCAGUUCAUUCUAACUUCUAAGACGUUAACCACCAAGAAAAGGAACUUCUCAAGCUUCUGUUUGAGCCAAGUUAAGCAUGGCUGCUUACAGUUAAUUGCAGUUUAGGUAUUGUUCAAUUUUCCAGAGAUAGGCAGUAGGAUAUCUACCAUUUUCAUACGACGUGCUAUGAAUAUGAUUACACUCUACUGACUAUAGCAAUCUGUUGACACGAGGUUCAGAAAAAAGUGAGAAAUUGAUGUGUAAGCAUUUUUUAUUGAGAUAUAAACUUUCUGGGUAGUUUGCAAGAUUUAACCUGGGAUUAUAGUUUGAAUUUUUUAGAUAUACAACCAGCAAUCUGAGAUCAAUGCUUCUGCACAGACAAUCUAGAUGGGCCAACAAAAUUUCUUUGCAAGCUCAUACAGAAGCUUAAAGACAUGCCUGCUAAUUUGGGAUGUUGUGAUGUUACAUGACUUAAAUCUUGCUUGAUAUAUCAUAAUCAUAUAAUCUGAUAAGGUGGUUGACCAAACCCGAAGAUUUUGGAACAGAAAAAGUUGUGCCAGCAAGUAAAAUUACUUCAAUGCAAGAUUUGAGAAGGCAUGUCACGAGGUGCUGCAGUGCUUGGUCGCCUACCAGACUUAGAGCCAAAGUUGUUUGAGCGCUUUUUGUUCUCUACGGUUUUCCGAAUACGUCAGAUUUUUUUUUUUUUGUAGCCUGAACCUUGGAGACGAUUUCUUGGGUGUAUAUAGCUGCACAUUUUUCGUGUCCUAUGACGGUAACACAUGAAAAAUUCAGCAAGGUCAAAGCAGCAUCUUGGACACAUCCAGUGCAUACUAUUGGCUUCUGAGGGAGAUAAUAUAUGUUAGAUUUCCAAUUAUGGGGCACAUGGUCAUCCUUACGCAUUUACUGAUGCCGCAUGGCCGCAAGUUUGCACAACAGGUGGCCGCUUUCAUGGUUGGCGGGAGCAUCUUGGCCUGGUACCAUGCGCGACAGUCCCACGGAAUGUACCAUCGCCUUAAUGGUGCCAGAGCCGGUGUAGUGUGGCGAAGGUACCUUCCCACGGGAUCUCUACCAUCGCCUUUAUGGUGCCAGAGCCGGUGUAGUGUGGCUAAGGUGCCAUCAAUGACGGGACACAGAUGGUGAGCGAUGAUAAAGAGAAGGAAGAUUGUCGUCGCGGUUGUUGUGCAGGAGUGCUCUGAUUACUGCUAACAUUAGGAACUGCAUGCACAUGAAGCUGAAUUAUAACAUAGAAGACUUUGAUGAAGAUAUACAUUUUAUAUUUAGAAAAGAUAUGUAAGAAGUCCUAUGUUCCCUCAGUAGUUAUUCAUUGUAAUAAAUUUUAUGAAAUUUCAAUUGAUCAAGAGGGCAUUGGUCUAAUUUAAAAAGAAGAUUAGUAGCUUACUUUGUUCACGUAUAUUUAGAAGGGGACGGAGCUAAGCUUAUAAUGUGUGUUGCACGUGCGAACUUCUGUCAUUAAAACUAUAACUAUAUGUGUUUUUA
Triticum dicoccoides is the source of this 2435-nucleotide long non-coding RNA. RefSeq lists it as uncharacterized. The transcript is spliced from 3 exons. The record is from RefSeq and is a predicted model, not a curated record. Lineage: Eukaryota; Viridiplantae; Streptophyta; Magnoliopsida; Poales; Poaceae.